GGCUCGCUAUGGGACCAGUGGACACUCUGACUCAACCAGCUGUGUGUCAGGAGGGCAGGCGUCCAACAAGAGCCACGUGACAGGGUUGGGAGCUAGCGCUUCGUCUACACGGAAUAUGGGCCCUCUCAAAGGAUCUGUGCCGGGCAGAUGGUGUUUGGGAUGGACUUGUUUCUAUCGGCCCCUCCUUCUAGCCUGACCACUGGACUGGCCUACAGCCUCCUUCCAGCUCUCAGCCGGUGUUGUAACCCCCGAAUUACGGAUGCUAACUCUCUACGGAUAAUUGUCCUGUUUCUUAAAAGUCUCACCAGAGAGACUUCAGUGUUGUGUACAGACAGUUUGCCUCUGCGUUUUCCCUCACAGAAGCUUCCAUCCUCCUUCCAGCCUGAGGCAAUCGAGAUAUGCAGACAGCUGGUUUCUGUGCUGCAUCCUCCUGCAACAAGCCCCGGGCUCCCUGCCCUUCCCUGACCACUCCAAGAGAACCCAGCCUAGCGUUAGAACGACACAACCCAUAACCACCACCACCCCCAAUGGAAGUAUUCUGAGGAGCCAAAUGCCAGCACCAGGCAUACCCCUCCCCUCCUCUGCAUCUCCAAAGACCACCACUUUUCCUGAUAAACAGCCGAACUCUCCAGGUGCCUGUCCUUAAGACCUUAAAGAAAUAACAAACUCUAAGGAGAUUAGGACCCUGAGUUUAAAUCAUGGAGAAAGGGUAAUCAGAGGUCACAGAUAGUUACAACUGGCCACAAAAUUAGUCCCUAAACAGACACCCAUUAACUACCCUCCUGGCUUCAGUUCCAUCCCACCAAAUGGUUACAGCCCUCCACUCCCCUUUUCUGUGAACAUUCAGGGGAUUCCUGACUAUACUGUAUAUAAACCCAGUGACUCAGGCAUCACUUGCCAGCAUUCACCCUGUGAGUGCAAGGCAUGUGAUCCGAGUUUGAACUUGGAAACAAUAAAAGACUCUUUUGCAAGUUGCAUCGGACUUCGAAAUGCUUGGGCUUGUCUGGGUUUCCCGUGGACUCGGCAUAACACUGACAUCCUCCUGAGUCAGGGCCUUUUACAGUGAUUUGCCUUUGUCCAGGUCCCAAGCCCCCAUCUGAGCUGCCAGAGAGGAAGGUCCCAACAGCCACCGCCCUGUUGGCCUGGUCAUGUCCUCUCCCCUGCACUGCUAGGGGAUUAGGGGGAUAGGUGGGGCUGGACCAGGUGCCGGAUACACGUAGUUAAGGGCAGAGCAUUUGGUGAGUAGAAAAAAGAGAGGAAAGGGAAAAUGUUGUGUUUAUAAAAAGAUAAGGAGAGAAGGAACACGUUUGGUGGGGGUGUAGUCAGGUGUGGGGGAAGGGGGUGCUUCUGAGGGCCAAUGCUGAGGCGUCCCUUCCCUCUGAGGGACACGC
Molecule: long non-coding RNA, 1391 nt
Filed under: Mus musculus (house mouse)
Lineage: Eukaryota; Metazoa; Chordata; Mammalia; Rodentia; Muridae
Description: predicted gene, 49736
Source: RNAcentral